RNAcentral lists this ribosomal RNA (450 nucleotides) under uncultured bacterium. RNAcentral describes it as "partial 16S ribosomal RNA". It matches the Rfam family "Bacterial small subunit ribosomal RNA", at positions 354 to 796 of the family's 1533-position model. The record is from RNAcentral.
GUGGGGAAUUUUGGACAAUGGGCGCAAGCCUGAUCCAGCAAUGCCGCGUGCAGGAAGAAGGCCUUCGGGUUGUAAACUGCUUUUGUACGGAACGAAACGGUCCUGGUUAAUACCUGGGGCUAAUGACGGUACCGUAAGAAUAAGCACCGGCUAACUACGUGCCAGCAGCCGCGGUAAUACGUAGGGUGUGAGCGUUAAUCGGAAUUACUGGGCGUAAAGCGUGCGCAGGCGGUGCUGUAAGACAGGCGUGAAAUCCCCGGGCUCAACCUGGGAAUUGCGCUUGUGACUGCAGUGCUGGAGUACGGCAGAGGGGGAUGGAAUUCCGCGUGUAGCAGUGAAAUGCGUAGAUAUGCGGAGGAACACCGAUGGCGAAGGCAGUCCCCUGGGCCUGUACUGACGCUCAUGCACGAAAGCGUGGGGAGCAAACAGGAUUAGAUACCCGGGUAGUCC